UCUGUGAAUUCUUCAGAUUUUCUUUGUUAAAGCCUUAGCUGGAGAUUAUUGACUAAGUUCAUCGGGGUAGAUUUGCUCAGGCGGAAAUAAUGAGCAUGAAGGCAAGCUUUUCUAGAAGACAUGAAAAUGUAGAUGAGCUUUGUGCUAGAAAUAUAAAAAAAGACCAGAGUUUGAUAUCUUUUACUGUUGUAGAUACACAGGAAGUGGUUUAAUUUACCCUGAAUGAUGUAAUGUGCCACAUCUCAAAAUAAGCAAAUGUAAUACAGAAACUAGACAGUUUGCAAAAAAAGACAAA
Long non-coding RNA from Erpetoichthys calabaricus (reedfish), 295 nucleotides. RefSeq lists it as uncharacterized. Lineage: Eukaryota; Metazoa; Chordata; Cladistia; Polypteriformes; Polypteridae. The transcript has 2 exons. The record is from RefSeq and is a predicted model, not a curated record.